This 302-nucleotide long non-coding RNA is filed under the name Carica papaya (papaya). Its description in RNAcentral is "long non-coding RNA (CPAP_LNC007770)". The record is from RNAcentral. Lineage: Eukaryota; Viridiplantae; Streptophyta; Magnoliopsida; Brassicales; Caricaceae.
UCCAUUGAUUUCAUCCUAGCAGCCCUCAAGAAAGAUGCAGAACAUAGAGCUAAUUCAGAAUUUUGAGUCUUUGCCGAUGGGUUGCUUAGAUUUCAGGAUAGAGUGUGUAUUUCAUGUAAUAGUGAACUGAAAAGAGACAUCAUGACUGAGGUUCAUAGCUCAAAGUUUGUUAUGCAUCCCAAAAACACUAAGAUGUAUCAAAAUAUGUGACCCUGAUUUUGGUGGAACAUGAUGAAAAGGUAUGUGGCCGACUUUGUUUCCAAAUAUUUAGUAUGUCAGCAAGUCUAGGCAGAGCAUCAAUC